CCCUGGCCCUGGUAUUUAUAGUAUUUAUCGAUAGAGCAACAGCUGAGAUCGCCUUUGAAUUCAAUAACAAGUGUAUUUCAAUGAAUUAGUUAUUUAACUAAGAAACUCAGCUGAAAUGCGCAAUUAUUGACAGCCUUAACUAAGCCCUCGAGUUCGGAACUAUUUGGAAAAGAGUAGGUUCCAGCAUAACAACCUAAAACUGCACGCCGAACCUGCUUCGACUAAGAACACACAAGCCUCUGUUAGUAUUGGUUCAAUAGGGGGCCCCAAGGUGAAGCGCUAAUGCGACAUCAACAUUACCGCGUGGCUGGAGCUGCUAGUGAUUACACUAAACCCUUUUCAGCGGAAUGAAUGGAUUCCUCAAAAAUGCACUGACUGGCCAGUCCGAGAAGAUAUUGAAACACAAAGCAAGAAGCGAAACGAAGGAAACAAAUGGCGCACUCACGGAAAACAAAACGAGAAAACGCUGAACGCGAGAAAUCUUGUAGCACCGAUGGAGCACCAAAUGAAGAGGAAGUCAACUGUUCAAGAUAAAAUCGAGGAUUGCUGGAAAGUCGUAAUGGAUUAUCUC
Drosophila pseudoobscura is the source of this 571-nucleotide long non-coding RNA. RefSeq lists it as uncharacterized. NCBI's taxonomy places the organism in Eukaryota, Metazoa, Arthropoda, Insecta, Diptera, Drosophilidae. The transcript is spliced from 3 exons. The record is from RefSeq and is a predicted model, not a curated record.